Molecule: ribosomal RNA, 1381 nt
Filed under: uncultured bacterium
Lineage: Bacteria
Description: 16S ribosomal RNA
Rfam family: Bacterial small subunit ribosomal RNA
Source: RNAcentral
GAUUGAACGCUGGCGGUAUGCUUAACACAUGCAAGUCGAACGGAAACGAUACUAGCUUGCUAGUAGGCGUCGAGUGGCGGACGGGUGAGUAACGCGUAGGAAUCUGCCUGAUAGUGGGGGAUAGCCCGAAGAAAUUCGGAUUAAUACCGCAUAAUCUAUUCGUAGUAAAGUGGGGGACUUUCGAGCCUCACGCUAUCAGAUGAGCCUGCGUAAGAUUAGCUUGUUGGUAGGGUAAAAGCCUACCAAGGCGACGAUCUUUAGCUGGUCUGAGAGGAUGAUCAGCCACAUCGGGACUGAGACACGGCCCGAACUCCUACGGGAGGCAGCAGUGGGGAAUAUUGGACAAUGGGGGCAACCCUGAUCCAGCAAUACCGCGUGUGUGAAGAAGGCCUGAGGGUUGUAAAGCACUUUCAAUUGUGAAGAAAAGUUAGCGGUUAAUAACCGUUAGCCUUGACGUUAACUUUAGAAGAAGCACCGGCUAACUCCGUGCCAGCAGCCGCGGUAAUACGGAGGGUGCAAGCGUUAAUCGGAAUUACUGGGCGUAAAGCGUGCGUAGGCGGUUUAUUAAGUCAGAUGUGAAAGCCCCGGACUUAACCUGGGAACUGCAUUUGAAACUGGUCAACUAGAGUAUGGUAGAGGGAAGUGGAAUUUCUGGUGUAGCGGUGAAAUGCGUAGAUAUCAGAAGGAACAUCAAUGGCGAAGGCAGCUUUCUGGACCAAUACUGACGCUGAGGUACGAAAGCGUGGGUAGCAAACAGGAUUAGAUACCCUGGUAGUCCACGCCGUAAACGAUGAUAACUAGCCGUUGGGGGGAUUUACCCUUUAGUGGCGAAGCUAACGCGUUAAGUUAUCCGCCUGGGGAGUACGGCCGCAAGGUUAAAACUCAAAGGAAUUGACGGGGACCCGCACAAGCGGUGGAGCAUGUGGUUUAAUUCGAUGCAACGCGAAGAACCUUACCUGGUCUUGACAUCCUGCGAACUUUCUAGAAAUAGAUUGGUGCCUUCGGGAACGCAGUGACAGGUGCUGCAUGGCUGUCGUCAGCUCGUGUCGUGAGAUGUUGGGUUAAGUCCCGUAACGAGCGCAACCCCUAUCCUUAUUUGCCAGCACAUCAUGGUGGGAACUAUAAGGAGACUGCCGGUGAUAAACCGGAGGAAGGCGGGGACGACGUCAAGUCAUCAUGGCCCUUACGACCAGGGCUACACACGUGCUACAAUGGGAAGGACAAAGAGCCGCGAAGCCGCGAGGUGUAGCUAAUCUCAUAAACCUUUUCGUAGUCCGGAUUGGAGUCUGCAACUCGACUCCAUGAAGUCGGAAUCGCUAGUAAUCGUAGAUCAGAAUGCUACGGUGAAUACGUUCCCGGGUCUUGUACACACCGCCCGUCA